GGGGAUUUAGCUCAGUGGUAGAGCGCUUGCCUAGCAGGUGCAAGGCCCUGGGUUCGGUCCCCAGCUCCG
Rattus norvegicus (Norway rat) is the source of this 69-nucleotide non-coding RNA. NCBI's taxonomy places the organism in Eukaryota, Metazoa, Chordata, Mammalia, Rodentia, Muridae. The record is from Rfam.